CCUACGGGUGGCAGCAGUGAGGAAUAUUGGUCAAUGGACGCAAGUCUGAACCAGCCAUGCCGCGUGCGGGAAGACGGCUCUAUGAGUUGUAAACUUCUUUUGUACGGGGGAAAACGCGGAUGCGCGUCUCUGUCUGAGAGUCUCCUACGAACAAGGAUCGGCUAACUCCGUGCCAACAGCCGCGGUCAUACGGAGGAUUCAAGCGUUAUCCGGAUUUAUUGGGUUUAAAGGGUGCGUAGGCGGUGGGGUAAGGUAGAGGUGAAAUCCCGAGGCUCAAAUUCGGAAUUGCCUCUGAUACUGUUAGGCUAGAGAGUAGUUGAGGUAGGCGGAAUGCAUGGUGUAGCGGUGAAAUGCUUAGAGAUCAUACAGAACACCGAUUGCGAAGGCAGCUUACCAAGCUACGUCUGACGUUGAGGCACGAAAGCGUGGGGAGCAAACAGGAUUAGAUACCCUUGUAGUC
Molecule: ribosomal RNA, 460 nt
Filed under: uncultured bacterium
Lineage: Bacteria
Description: partial 16S ribosomal RNA
Rfam family: Bacterial small subunit ribosomal RNA
Source: RNAcentral